RNAcentral lists this ribosomal RNA (1376 nucleotides) under uncultured bacterium. RNAcentral describes it as "bacterial SSU rRNA". It matches the Rfam family "Bacterial small subunit ribosomal RNA", at positions 28 to 1381 of the family's 1533-position model. The record is from RNAcentral.
GAUGAACGCUGGCGGCGUGCCUAAUACAUGCAAGUCGAGCGAACAGAUAAGGAGCUUGCUCCUUUGAAGUUAGCGGCGGACGGGUGAGUAACACGUGGGUAACCUACCUAUAAGACUGGGAUAACUUCGGGAAACCGGAGCUAAUACCGGAUAACAUUUAGAACCGCAUGGUUCUAAAGUGAAAGAUGGUUUUGCUAUCACUUAUAGAUGGACCCGCGCCGUAUUAGCUAGUUGGUAAGGUAACGGCUUACCAAGGCGACGAUACGUAGCCGACCUGAGAGGGUGAUCGGCCACACUGGAACUGAGACACGGUCCAGACUCCUACCGGAGGCAUCAGUAGGGAAUCUUCCGCAAUGGGCGAAAGCCUGACGGAGCAACGCCGCGUGAGCUGAUGAAGGGUUUCGGCUCGUAAAACUCUGUUAUUAGGGAAGAACAAAUGUGUAAGUAACUGUGCACAUCUUGACGGUACCUAAUCAGAAAGCCUCGGCUAACUACCUGUCAGUCCCCCGCGGGAACACGUUAGUGGCCAGCGCUUAUCCCGGAAUAUUUGGUCGUUAAGCGCGCGUAGGCGGUUUCUUAAGUCUGAUGUGAAAGCCCACGGCUCACCUGUGGAGGGUCAUUGGAAACUGGGAAACUUGAGUGCAGAAGAGGAAAGUGGAAUUCCAUGUGUAGCGGUGAAAUGCGCAGAGAUAUGGAGGAACACCAGUGGCGAAGGCGACUUUCUGGUCUGUAACUGACGCUGAUGUGCGAAAGCGUGGGGAUCAAACAGGAUUAGAUACCCUGGUAGUCCACGCCGUAAACGAUGAGUGCUAAGUGUUAGGGGGUUUCCGCCCCUUAGUGCUGCAGCUAACGCAUUAAGCACUCCGCCUGGGGAGUACGACCGCAAGGUUGAAACUCAAAGGAAUUGACGGGGACCCGCACAAGCGGUGGAGCAUGUGGUUUAAUUCGAAGCAACGCGAAGAACCUUACCAAAUCUUGACAUCCUUUGAAAACUCUGGAGAUAGAGCCUUCCCCUUCGGGGGACAAAGUGACAGGUGGUGCAUGGUUGUCGUCAGCUCGUGUCGUGAGAUGUUGGGUUAAGUCCCGCAACGAGCGCAACCCUUAAGCUUAGUUGCCAUCAUUAAGUUGGGCACUCUAGGUUGACUGCCGGUGACAAACCGGAGGAAGGUGGGGAUGACGUCAAAUCAUCAUGCCCCUUAUGAUUUGGGCUACACACGUGCUACAAUGGACAAUACAAAGGGCAGCUAAACCGCGAGGUCAUGCAAAUCCCAUAAAGUUGUUCUCAGUUCGGAUUGUAGUCUGCAACUCGACUACAUGAAGCUGGAAUCGCUAGUAAUCGUAGAUCAGCAUGCUACGGUGAAUACGUUCCCGGGUCU